Molecule: ribosomal RNA, 465 nt
Filed under: uncultured bacterium
Lineage: Bacteria
Description: bacterial SSU rRNA
Rfam family: Bacterial small subunit ribosomal RNA
Source: RNAcentral
CCUACGGGAUGCACCAGUGGGGAAUAUUGCACAAUGGGCGCAAGCCUGAUGCAGCCAUGCCGCGUGUAUGAAGAAGGCCUUCGGGUUGUAAAGUACUUUCAGCGGGGAGGAAGGUGUUGUGGUUAAUAACCACAACAAUUGACGUUACCCGCAGAAGAAGCACCGGCUAACUCCGUGCCAGCAGCCGCGGUAAUACGGAGGGUGCAAGCGUUAAUCGGAAUUACUGGGCGUAAAGCGCACGCAGGCGGUCUGUCAAGUCGGAUGUGAAAUCCCCGGGCUCAACCUGGGAACUGCAUUCGAAACUGGCAAGCUUGAGUCUCGUAGAGGGGGGUAGAAUUCCAGGUGUAGCGGUGAAAUGCGUAGAGAUCUGAAGGAAUACCAGUGGCGAAGGCGGCCCCCUGGACAAAGACUGACGCUCAGAUGCGAAAGCGUGGGGAGCAAACAGGAUUAGAUACCCGCGUAGUC